RNAcentral lists this ribosomal RNA (490 nucleotides) under uncultured bacterium. RNAcentral describes it as "partial 16S ribosomal RNA". It matches the Rfam family "Bacterial small subunit ribosomal RNA", at positions 30 to 507 of the family's 1533-position model. The record is from RNAcentral.
AUUGAACGCUGGCGGCAGGCCUAACACAUGCAAGUCGAACGGUAACACGAUGAAGCUUUGUUCUUUGCGGACGAGUGGCGGGCGGGUGAGACGUGUCUAGCAAACUCUCUGAUUUAGGGGGAUAUCAGGUAGAAACAGUUACUAAUACAGCGUAACGUCUCCAGACCAGAAAGGGGGGGAUUCUGGCCUCUUGCGGGCGUGUAUGCGCAGAUGGUAUUCGCUAGUGGGGGGGGUAACGGCCCCCAUAGGCGACGAGCCGUAGCUGGUGUGAGAGGAUGAGCAGCGACACUGGAACUGAGACACGGUCCAGACUCCUACGGGAGGCAGCAGUGGGGAAUAUUGGACAAUGGGCGCAAGCCUGAUGCAGCCAUGCCGCGUGUAUGAAGAAGGCCUUCGGGUUGUAAAGUCCUUUUAGCGGGGAGGAAGGGCGUAAGGUUAAUACCUUGCCUCAUUGACGUUACCCGAAGAAGAAGCACCGGCUAACUACGUG